UCUAUCAUCAAACCACCCUGAUGCACCCAGAAGCUAAGCAAGGUCAGGCCUGGUUCAUACUUGGAUGGGAGAAACCACCCAGAGGUCAGAGCAGAAGACAGAU
RNAcentral lists this ribosomal RNA (103 nucleotides) under Fukomys damarensis (Damara mole-rat). The record is from RNAcentral. Lineage: Eukaryota; Metazoa; Chordata; Mammalia; Rodentia; Bathyergidae.